This 228-nucleotide long non-coding RNA is filed under the name Ananas comosus (pineapple). Its description in RNAcentral is "long non-coding RNA (ACOM_LNC018810)". The record is from RNAcentral. Lineage: Eukaryota; Viridiplantae; Streptophyta; Magnoliopsida; Poales; Bromeliaceae.
ACAAACCACAACCUCGCAGAGCAAAAAUUUUUUUUUUUUUUUUUAGAGAGAUAGGUAGCACGUUAUCCGUUUCGUUUAUUUUAUUUAGAAAUAAAUUUAGCUGGAAAUGUGAAUCAAAUAGGAUUCGAACUUGAAUCUCGGAUACCAACUACCAAAUCCUUUGCCAAUUGCUCUAAGGACGGUCGGUCGCAGAGCAAAAAUAUUAAAAACUAACUUUGCUACUAUAUU